GUGUGUGUAAUUUAAAUAAAAUGUCAAGCUGUGACCAUGACCAUAGGAACCCUUCCUCACACACC
RNAcentral lists this transfer RNA (65 nucleotides) under Regina grahamii (Graham's crayfish snake). RNAcentral's name for it is "tRNA-His". The record is from RNAcentral. Lineage: Eukaryota; Metazoa; Chordata; Lepidosauria; Squamata; Natricidae.